GCCGCGUGAGUGAUGAAGGUUUUCGGAUCGUAAAACUCUGUUGUCAGGGAAGAACAAGUGCCGGAGUAACUGCCGGCACCUUGACGGUACCUGACCAGAAAGCCACGGCUAACUACGUGCCAGCAGCCGCGGUAAUACGUAGGUGGCAAGCGUUGUCCGGAAUUAUUGGGCGUAAAGCGCGCGCAGGCGGUCUCUUAAGUCUGAUGUGAAAGCCCACGGCUCAACCGUGGAGGGUCAUUGGAAACUGGGGGACUUGAGUGCAGAAGAGGAAAGUGGAAUUCCACGUGUAGCGGUGAAAUGCGUAGAGAUGUGGAGGAACACCAGUGGCGAAGGCGACUUUCUGGUCUGUAACUGACGCUGAGGCGCGAAAGCGUGGGGAGCAAACAGGAUUAGAUACCCUGGUAGUCCACGCCGUAAACGAUGAGUGCUAAGUGUUAGAGGGUUUCCGCCCUUUAGUGCUGCAGCAAACGCAUUAAGCACUCCGCCUGGGGAGUACGGCCGCAAGGCUGAAACUCA
Molecule: ribosomal RNA, 516 nt
Filed under: Bacillus sp. MN07-16
Lineage: Bacteria; Bacillati; Bacillota; Bacilli; Caryophanales; Bacillaceae
Description: bacterial SSU rRNA
Rfam family: Bacterial small subunit ribosomal RNA
Source: RNAcentral